This 376-nucleotide ribosomal RNA is filed under the name Kodamaea ohmeri. RNAcentral describes it as "partial large subunit ribosomal RNA". It matches the Rfam family "Eukaryotic large subunit ribosomal RNA", at positions 114 to 477 of the family's 3401-position model. Lineage: Eukaryota; Fungi; Ascomycota; Pichiomycetes; Serinales; Debaryomycetaceae. The record is from RNAcentral.
UUUGAAAUCCCCCCGGGGAGUUGUAAUUUGAAGAUUGCGUCUUGGAGGCGACCGUGUCUAUGUUCCUUGGAACAGGACGUCACAGAGGGUGAGAAUCCCGUGCGGCACGGCCCCCGGCUCCUUAUAAGGCGCUCUCGACGAGUCGAGUUGUUUGGGAAUGCAGCUCAAAGUGGGUGGUAAAUUCCAUCUAAAGCUAAAUACAGGCGAGAGACCGAUAGCGAACAAGUACAGUGAUGGAAAGAUGAAAAGCACUUUGAAAAGAGAGUGAAACAGCACGUGAAAUUGUUGAAAGGGAAGGGCAUGCCGUCAGAUUGUCAGUGUGGGUAAGAAGCGGGGUACAAAGACUGUGGAACGUGGCCCUCGGGUGUUAUAGCCG